Molecule: ribosomal RNA, 400 nt
Filed under: uncultured bacterium
Lineage: Bacteria
Description: bacterial SSU rRNA
Rfam family: Bacterial small subunit ribosomal RNA
Source: RNAcentral
GGGGGAUAUUGCACAAUGGAGGAAACUCUGAUGCAGCAACGCCGCGUGAGGGAAGACGGUUUUCGGAUUGUAAACCUCUGUCCUCAGGGACGAUAAUGACGGUACCUGAGGAGGAAGCUCCGGCUAACUACGUGCCAGCAGCCGCGGUAAUACGUAGGGAGCAAGCGUUGUCCGGAUUUACUGGGUGUAAAGGGUGCGUAGGCGGCCCUGCAAGUCAGGCGUGAAAGGCGGAGGCUUAACCUCCGAGCUGCGUUUGAAACUGUGGGGCUUGAGUGGAGCAGAGGCAGGCGGAAUUCCCGGUGUAGCGGUGAAAUGCGUAGAGAUCGGGAGGAACACCAGUGGCGAAGGCGGCCUGCUGGGCUUUAACUGACGCUGAAGCACGAAAGCAUGGGUAGCAAAC